Molecule: long non-coding RNA, 1575 nt
Filed under: Homo sapiens (human)
Lineage: Eukaryota; Metazoa; Chordata; Mammalia; Primates; Hominidae
Description: HSALNT0365983
Source: RNAcentral
CCUGGUUUUCUCAUUCAGGGAGAUCAGAGUGUGUGUCUGCUAGCAGCCAGAAUGUCUGGGCCUCUGAAUAAUUCAAGUGCCUCUUUUCAACGACAGUCACCCAGAGGACAAGCUGAUUGCACUUUGGAUGACCCCUGUAUGUCUGGGUUCCUGGACAUGAUGAAUGUCCUCAUUCUGGUCUUCUCUGGGGAAAUACAUACAUACAUACAUACCGUGUUUGGCAGAGGCCUCUGUGUAAAGUCUCAGUUUAGAGUUAGUUUUAAAGAAAAGCAGAAAUGCUUCUCCCUAAGCCUGAGAGACCCCCACUGCACAGGCAACAGGAGCCAUCUCUCCUUCCUCCUUCUCCCCUCUGCUGUCACUACUUUGCCCUGACACCCUGCCUAGCCCCAUGGACAUGCAUUAGUCUCUCUCUUCCUAUCAACUAUGCAAGGCCCUUCAAGCCCCACUUUUGCUUUCAGAGGGCUUCAUGUCCCCAGAGGCUGAGGAGCUUGCUUGUUUAUCUCUUUUUCUAGCUGUACCUGGUCUGAAAAGGGAGACCGCAUGCACCUUACUGCACCCCCUUCCCACCCCAUCCCUCCUCUGCAUAAGGAAAUGGCCCAGGAACCUCUGCCUGCAUCAUCUGUGUCCCGCUCUGAGACAGUGCGUGCCUCGCUCAUAGACCUUCCCCACUCCCGGGGCUGCUGGAGCCCAGCUCUUGGGCCUUCUUGGGACCACCUUCUUCCCUGAAGCCUGGUGCAAAGGAGAGACAAGGUCUCACUCAGAAUCCGAUUCUGUCCUCCAGCCUGGAGUAUGUGGUGCAAUCCCAGAUCUCUGCAGGCUUGAGCUCCUGGGCUCAAGCGAUCCUCCUGCCUCAGCCUCUCAAGUAGAUGGAACUACAGCUAUGGCACAGCAGCCCUGGAAUGACAACCGGAGACUUUGUGCUUGCAAAAGCUUAUCCUUCUUUGCUGGGAGUUCUGGGAUAACGUAGGUCGGAUCAGAAAACGCCAUAUGCUAGUUCACAGGGAAUUUCCAAAGAGCAGCUAGCUCCAGUUGGUUGCUAAGAGACAGCUCCACAGCUGGACUUUGGCUGCAAAAUUUGAACAAAAAAAGAAGAGCACAAAUGAGCUUGCCAGGGCUUUAGCUUCCACUGUUGAUCACUGCCUAGAUUCACCACUUUAUUAAUGGCUCAGAAGAUAUUGCUUUCUAAAAUUCUGCUAUGUUUAUCAACAUCUGGAGUAAUGAGUUUAGCACCUGCUACCUCCAGUAAGUACUGAACAAUAUGACUUUAAAUUAUCUUUUGAAUGCAUAGAUUUUUAUAUAUUUGAUUGUUUCAGUCUGUGUCCAUUAGUAUUUUUUUGAUGCUCAAUUUGUUAAUUUUAGGCUAAGGGGAAUUCUAUUACUAGGCCCCUCCAUCUUUCUCACCUGGCAUCUCCUAUUUUAUGUGACAAAAAUAUGUCCCAGAAUCAUUUUGUACAUUUACGUGCCUGGAAUUGGUCAUUACUCAAAAAAAGCCCUGGCUUAUUUUAGUGAGAAGUAGUACUUAGAGACCAGAAUCGAGGUCCUGGGAGUACAUGAUUUUAUUUAGUCUUCAUAAUG